GAGGAAUAUUGGUCAAUGGGCGCGAGCCUGAACCAGCCAAGUAGCGUGCAGGAUGACGGCCCUAUGGGUUGUAAACUGCUUUUGUAUGGGGAUAAAGUCAAUCACGUGUGAUUGUUUGCAGGUACCAUACGAAUAAGGACCGGCUAAUUCCGUGCCAGCAGCCGCGGUAAUACGGAAGGUCCGGGCGUUAUCCGGAUUUAUUGGGUUUAGAGGGAGCGUAGGCCGGAGAUUAAGUGUGUUGUGAAAUGUAGACGCUCAACGUCUGACUUGCAGCGCAUACUGGUUUUCUUGAGUACGCACAACGUUGGCGGAAUUCGUCGUGUAGCGGUGAAAUGCUUAGAUAUGACGAAGAACUCCGAUUGCGAAGGCAGCUGACGGGAGCGCAACUGACGCUUAAGCUCGAAGGUGCGGGUAUCGAACAGGAUUAGAUACCCUGGUAGUCCGCACAGUAAACGAUGGAUGCCCGCUGUUGGUACCUGGUAUCAGCGGCUAAGCGAAAGCAUUAAGCAUCCCACCUGGGGAGUACGCCGGCAACGGUG
RNAcentral lists this ribosomal RNA (539 nucleotides) under uncultured bacterium. RNAcentral describes it as "bacterial SSU rRNA". It matches the Rfam family "Bacterial small subunit ribosomal RNA", at positions 356 to 896 of the family's 1533-position model. The record is from RNAcentral.